CCAAGUCCCUCACCAAGAAUAUUUGGAUGAAAUUGAAACAGCUUCCGAUUCCCUCACAAUUAAUUUUCUUCUUCGCUUACGAUUCCCCGUCGAAGAACUCCUCAAUCUCUGUUUCAAUUUUCUUCUCUCUCGUUCUUCAGUCUCCUAAAUCGUUUCUGCAACGAGAUCACGGAUAAGUUCCGGGAUUCAUCUCUUCUGAUUCGGAAGAAUGUCUCGUGUUCGGAAUUUCAGUUAUCAAGGAGGGAUGACUUAUGAUGAGUACUGGGCCACUUUGAAUAGAUAUGAUUUCAAAGACCACCAUCAAAUGACAAGUAGGAGCAAUUAUUAUGAUAAUGGCUAUUGCAACCAUUUUGAAUUCUCAGGGCAGUAUAAAGAGCAGGUUAAUAGGUCUAUUUAUGCGAGGACUGAUACUUUGAACACCAUCAAGUCUCAUAAUUCUCAGUCUUUUAAAAGGAGGAAGUUUUCUGCUUCACGUUGGGAGGAUAGUGGGAAAUACCAUUGGCAGGCGAGGGCGUAUGUUAAUGGACCUUCAAUCUAUAGCAAUUUGGUCCAUCCUCCUCCAAGAUCCAACAACGAUGUCUCUACGUCUGCCAGCUGUAAACGCAGCCGCUCAAUAAUGGAAGAGGAUGAGCCUUUCUUUAUGACCAGGGAUGAGAUUGAGAGAUGUUCACCUUCAAGAAAAGAUGGUAUUGAUACAGUACGUGAAACACAUCUGCGGUACACAUACUGUGCCUUCCUUCAGAGUCUAGGUUUGCAGCUUGAGUUACCACAGACUACCAUUGGCACUGCAAUGAUUCUAUGCCAUCGGUUUUUUAUUCGAAGGUCACACGCUUGUCAUGAUAGAUUUUUGAUUGCCACAUCUGCACUCUUCCUUGCUGCAAAAUCUGAGGAGACACCACGCCCUCUGAAUAAUGUCUUGCGAGCUUCGUGCCAAAUUCUACACAAACAGGAUUUUAAUGUCUUAUCUUAUAUGCUCCCUGUUGAUUGGUUUGAGCAAUAUCGUGAAAGAGUAACUGAGGCUGAACAAUUGAUACUGACUACACUGAACUUUGAACUCAACGUACAACAUCCCUAUGCUCCUCUUAUGUCUGUUCUUAACAAGAUAGGUCUUUCACAGUCGAUCUUGGUGAACCUUGCACUGAACUUAAUCAGUGAAGGGAAGCUUCUUGGCUUGUGUAGUCUAUUAGUAAGCAUGCCCUUGCAAUUGCGAAAAAGUAGGUCAAUGAUGUAACGAUAAGAUUUAGAUUUGUGAUGUGUGGGUGCAAGAACCUCAAUGGAAUGACAGAUUUCUUGAAUUUUGGCAUUGAUUGUGGCAUGAAAGAGGUUGUGCUGGUGAUCUUCUUUCCUUCUAGGUAUCAAAAUGGUGUGUUACUUUUGUCACUUGUUUUCUUGUUAGAGCGAGCUACCGUUCUUUACACAUUUCUCAUACUAUGAAUUAUUGAUUUUUCUGGCAUGCGUAUAAUUUGCAGGAUCUAUGCACGAUUAGUAUGCUCGCCUGUUUGAUAUACUUAGCUGGCGGAUUGAUAUGCUGUUCAUGGAAACUUUUCUUUUACAAGUGAAGUUAUUUUAACCAUGAAUAUACCCCAUCAACUUGGUACUUGGUGCUAAUGAUUGCCAAUGAGCUUACUGCAUCACUUUCUAUCUUUUCUUAACAAAAAUAUCUAUUUCUCCUCCUCUCCCUGGAUCGUCCUCUUUAGGCCAUUCAUUUUCUUAUACCUUGAAAGAUACGGAAUAUUUUCCUUAUGGACUUUUUGACUUUGAAGGGCCUCCACAUGUGAUUGAAUCUUCAAUCUAUUGUCUUUAUAACUUAAGAGGACCGCUGCCAUUGGUUUUGCUUUUGCUCUUAUUUCCCAAUGAUGGAUGAUCAAGUGAGUCUAACUGAGAAUAUCUGCUGACCAGCUUCUUGGGAUGAGUUUCUAUUUAGCACAGAAUAAGUCACAAUGUGAUUUAGAUCUUAGAUAAACCUCUCUUUGGUCUUUUCUUUAGCACAGAAUAAGUCAGUGUUUACUCUUUGAAGAUUCAAGUGUACAUGACUUAAAUAACAUGUCAAACCACCAGAUUCUUGAUGUUCCAUUGAGCAUGUACGCACAAGCAAGCAGCCCUUCAGUUGGAAACCUUAAAUUUGUGUCGAAUCAUUUUAUAAGUCAUGUAUUUGCUGACUGCUGUCUAUACUUGGUAAAUUAUCACGUGGAUAUCUGUUGAUCAUUUUGAGUCAGAGAGGGUGGAACUCAAAUGUGGCGUGACUAUGACUGGUUCAGGAUGGGCGGAAUCUGCAUGCAUAUGGGUUUCUUGAUAGGGACAGAAUGUGAAUUAUGGAAGAUCAUAUUAAAAGAAAAUUUGGAUCCCCCUCUCGCACUAAGAGAAAAUAUAAUGCAUGCAUUCAUAUACAUACCUUUGCCUAUUACUGCAUAUGCCUCCAUUUUCCAGUUUUUCCCAUCCUUGUUUGACAUACAAUGUGUUGUUACUUUAUUUUCAUGAAGCAUUUUCUCUGUUUUUGUGUUUUCAUCACAAUGAAACCUGAAGUUUUGCUGUUUUGACAUAAAUGGUAUAAUAUUUAAAUUAUUUUAUAUAUGAAAUAUAUAUUACCUUGGGCUGGUUUGCUUUUGAAAUUUCUUUGCUUUCCUGUAAAGUCUUUAUUGGCUUUUUUUCUUAACAACCAAAGGAGUUCUAUUCAUUCUCGUCUUGCACUUCCACACAUUGCUUUUGUUUAUAAUCUUACCCCUUUUGAUUUCGGUCAUUCAUCAUUUAUUUAUGGGGUGAGAAAGUAUGUACAUCUCUUAUCGACUAUGAAAUGUUUAAUAAACUAUGGUUUUUUUAAACUCUCUAACAUUCAUCAUAGGAUUGGAUUUUCAGCUAAUCUGUCUUUUCUGUGUUGCUCUUGUUAUCAAAUAAAUACCGCUGUCAUGACCACAACACUUUCUUGAACUUUGAUAUCUAAUAUGCCUUAUUAUCUGACUUCUUGGAUAUUCUAAGCUAUUAAAAUUUUGAAACUAUUGUGAAAUUGUACCAGUUUCUCACACGUCGUUUCCUAUGGGGAAAAAAAUUCCCUUCUCUCUCUAUUUUGCUUUUAUUUUCAAAAUAGUUUAUUCAUGACUUUGAAACUUUUUAAUUUGUGUUUUUAAAAUCCAGCACUGUCCUAUAGGUGGAAAGAUGCAUGUCUGGCCUUUUUCAUCUUGCCAUAAUGAGUAGAUGCAUCACUAUUUUGAAUGAAGCUGAUUAUUUUUUUUGUUAUGAUGUAUAUAUUGACCAGUCAUUCUAUAUGUUGUGAUUAUAGGAAACCCUGAAGGUGUAAACUUUUGAAAUAUUCAGUGACAUCAAGGUUUUGCAUUCAAUUUGUUGGACAUAUAAAUUGUAAAUUUUAAUUUCUUUCAGGUGAUGUUUGUUCCAAUUUAUAUGGUCAUUAGAAUCACAAUCAUCAAUUAAACAACGUUGUGAUCUGCAUGCUUGUGUAAAGGUGCUGUCUAUAGAAACUUCACCCUCUCCUGCCUCCCCUUCCAUCAAAAGAUACCGAAUAAAACUACUUUCAAGGUACAAACUUUACAACAGAUGCAACUUUCCAUGUAAAGGCAGUUUUGCCCAUAGAAACCACCCCCCUCCCCCUCUUGCCCAUAUGCCUAACCAAAAGAGGAGUAAAACCAUGUCCUGUUCUAAACAUUCUAAGGAUAAUUACCUUAAUUAAGGUAGAAGCUUUACAAUGGAUUCAACUUUCCAUAAACCCGAGUCUUUUCUUCUUGUGUGUAUUUGUACAACGGUGGGAAUUUUGGGUUGGAUCUGUAAGUAGGGUAAACUUGCAUGCUUUCAAGCACGAUGAGAUGAGAGUGCUUGAUGACAAUCCAGUACAGAUCAACAUUUACAUCAUUUAGAGCCUUGAAGAUGGUGGGUUGCUUUGAGAAGUUUGAUUGUUUGCAAUAUGCCACAACCUCCUGUCUUUUAGUUUGGGUUGCAUUAGUUUCUGGAAUGAAAAGCCCCUGCAGCCAAAUUACCUGGGAGUUUGAUGUAUUCUGUAUAUGGGGUAUAACAUAUAUCGUAUGAUAGUGAUACUAUCGGCAAUCUUCCAGAGAUUCUUGGAAAUAUUCUACCUGAGUUGCUGCUUUUUAGUUGGUAAGAAGAAACGUGAUAUUUACUUUGCUCUUGCUCUUAGUUUUUAUUGUUGUAUACAGUUGUAUAUUUAGAGCUGAUGCACUUUUUUUUCUUGAAGUACUGUUACACAUUGCCUUCCUCUUUAGUAGUGGACCCAGAUGGUUUGUUUAACUGUUUUGUGUUCUUCAACUGGUUAUCGUGGUUGUGGUAGUUGCAUAUGACACUGAAAUGUGUUUUUUUUAGGCUGAGGAGCUCACUCUGGCUUCAGUUUAAGCCCCAUCAGAUAGCUGCUGGAGCUGCAUAUCUGUCUGCCAAGCUAUUGAAUAUGGAUUUUGCUCCUUAUCAAAAUAUCUUGCAAGAGUUCCAAGCUACGCCAGCUAUUCUCCAAGAUGUGGCCCAGCAGUUGAUGGAGCUGUUCUAAAGUGAAAGCUCGAUUGGACGAAGCCUACAUCUGGUGAAAUUACACGGGAAACGUAACGUAUUUGUUACUUUAGGACACGUCUUAAAUAGUUAAAUCCUGACAGUCGCUUAGAGUAUAGUGACUGUGUUGGAUGGAUGGCUUAACAUGAAUGGUUCCGAAUCCCUUUCCAUGUGCAAGACAGUGGUUUAGAAGUACAGUAGGAAGGCGUGUAUUGAAUUGGCAAAUGGAUGGUUAUACGAAAAGGCUCAUUUCUGGUCU
This is a non-coding RNA of Cucurbita pepo subsp. pepo (vegetable marrow), 4759 nucleotides long. The record is from RefSeq and is a predicted model, not a curated record. NCBI's taxonomy places the organism in Eukaryota, Viridiplantae, Streptophyta, Magnoliopsida, Cucurbitales, Cucurbitaceae.